GUUUGUAGUUUGUACUUGGCCUCAGGGUAUAUGCUAUGGUACUUUUGUGGCUCCCAAAAAAGACUCCAGAAACAUCAAAGAUGUAAAGAAAAACUACAAAAUUUGAAAUGAAUGAUAUUCUUAGGGAUCAAUAUAUAUCAAGUCCUACAGCUCUAAUAUAUAGAUAGUUUGAUUUUUAUGUGAGAGAGAAAUAAAUAAAUAGUUUUUCUA
Molecule: long non-coding RNA, 210 nt
Filed under: Elaeis guineensis (African oil palm)
Lineage: Eukaryota; Viridiplantae; Streptophyta; Magnoliopsida; Arecales; Arecaceae
Description: long non-coding RNA (EGUI_LNC030797)
Source: RNAcentral